UACCAUGCAAGUCGAACGGUGAAGCCCAGCUUGCUGGGUGGAUCAGUGGCGAACGGGUGAGUAACACGUGAGCAACCUGCCCCUGACUCUGGGAUAAGCGCUGGAAACGGCGUCUAAUACUGGAUAUGUACCACGAUCGCAUGGUCUGUGGUUGGAAAGAUUUUUCGGUUGGGGAUGGGCUCGCGGCCUAUCAGCUUGUUGGUGAGGUAAUGGCUCACCAAGGCGUCGACGGGUAGCCGGCCUGAGAGGGUGACCGGCCACACUGGGACUGAGACACGGCCCAGACUCCUACGGGAGGCAGCAGUGGGGAAUAUUGCACAAUGGGCGCAAGCCUGAUGCAGCAACGCCGCGUGAGGGAUGACGGCCUUCGGGUUGUAAACCUCUUUUAGCAGGGAAGAAGCGAAAGUGACGGUACCUGCAGAAAAAGCGCCGGCUAACUACGUGCCAGCAGCCGCGGUAAUACGUAGGGCGCAAGCGUUAUCCGGAAUUAUUGGGCGUAAAGAGCUCGUAGGCGGUUUGUCGCGUCUGCUGUGAAAUCCGGAGGCUCAACCUCCGGCCUGCAGUGGGUACGGGCAGACUAGAGUGCGGUAGGGGAGAUUGGAAUUCCUGGUGUAGCGGUGGAAUGCGCAGAUAUCAGGAGGAACACCGAUGGCGAAGGCAGAUCUCUGGGCCGUAACUGACGCUGAGGAGCGAAAGGGUGGGGAGCAAACAGGCUUAGAUACCCUGGUAGUCCACCCCGUAAACGUUGGGAACUAGUUGUGGGGUCCAUUCCACGGAUUCCGUGACGCAGCUAACGCAUUAAGUUCCCCGCCUGGGGAGUACGGCCGCAAGGU
This 833-nucleotide ribosomal RNA is filed under the name Microbacterium sp. HCA2-19_Pa. RNAcentral's name for it is "bacterial SSU rRNA". It matches the Rfam family "Bacterial small subunit ribosomal RNA", at positions 52 to 894 of the family's 1533-position model. Lineage: Bacteria; Bacillati; Actinomycetota; Actinomycetes; Micrococcales; Microbacteriaceae. The record is from RNAcentral.